AACGAACGCUGGCGGCAUGCCUAACACAUGCAAGUCGAACGAUGCCUCCGGGCAUAGUGGCGCACGGGUGCGUAACGCGUGGGAAUCUGCCCUUGGGUUCGGAAUAACUCGCCGAAAGGCGAGCUAAUACCGGAUGAUGACGUAAGUCCAAAGAUUUAUCGCCCAAGGAUGAGCCCGCGUAGGAUUAGCUAGUUGGUGGGGUAAAGGCCCGCCAAGGCGACGAUCCUUAGCUGGUCUGAGAGGAUGAUCAGCCACACUGGGACUGAGACACGGCCCAGACUCCUACGGGAGGCAGCAGUGGGGAAUAUUGGACAAUGGGCGAAAGCCUGAUCCAGCAAUGCCGCGUGAGUGAUGAAGGCCUUAGGGUUGUAAAGCUCUUUUACCCGGGAUGAUAAUGACAGUACCGGGAGAAUAAGCACCGGCUAACUCCGUG
RNAcentral lists this ribosomal RNA (433 nucleotides) under uncultured bacterium. RNAcentral's name for it is "partial 16S ribosomal RNA". It matches the Rfam family "Bacterial small subunit ribosomal RNA", at positions 29 to 507 of the family's 1533-position model. The record is from RNAcentral.